This 468-nucleotide ribosomal RNA is filed under the name uncultured bacterium. RNAcentral describes it as "partial 16S ribosomal RNA". It matches the Rfam family "Bacterial small subunit ribosomal RNA", at positions 28 to 507 of the family's 1533-position model. The record is from RNAcentral.
GACGAACGCUGGCGGCGUGCUUAACACAUGCAAGUCGAACGGAAAGGCCCUGCUUUUGUGGGGUGCUCGAGUGGCGAACGGGUGAGUAACACGUGAGUAACCUGCCCUUGACUUUGGGAUAACUUCAGGAAACUGGGGCUAAUACCGGAUAGGAGCUCCUGCUGCAUGGUGGGGGUUGGAAAGUUUCGGCGGUUGGGGAUGGACUCGCGGCUUAUCAGCUUGUUGGUGGGGUAGUGGCUUACCAAGGCUUUGACGGGUAGCCGGCCUGAGAGGGUGACCGGCGACAUUGGGCCUGAGAUACGGACCAGAGUCCUACGGGAGGCAGCAGUGGGGAAUAUUGCACAAUGGGCGGAAGCCUGAUGCAGCAACGCCGCGUGCGGGAUGACGGCCUUCGGGUUGUAAACCGCUUUCGCCUGUGACGAAGCGUGAGUGACGGUAAUGGGUAAAGAAGCACCGGCUAACUACGUG